Molecule: ribosomal RNA, 230 nt
Filed under: Mischonyx insulanus
Lineage: Eukaryota; Metazoa; Arthropoda; Arachnida; Opiliones; Gonyleptidae
Description: partial small subunit ribosomal RNA
Source: RNAcentral
AUUAGUAUAGAAAUUUAAAAAUUUUGGCGGUUGGUGAUUAAUUAGAGGAGCUUGUAUAGAAUUAACUCUUUAUAUUUAAAUAGUAUUAUUUAUUCAUCUCCGUUAUUAAUAAUUAUAUUUCAGGUCAAGAUGUAGUAUUUAUUAUAAUAUUAGCUACAUUUAUGAAAUAAGAAAUUGAAUUUAAUUGUAAUUAUAUUUAUAAUGGUAUAAUGAAUGGAAAUGAUUAAUGU